RNAcentral lists this unclassified non-coding RNA (200 nucleotides) under Helotiales sp. RNAcentral describes it as "partial internal transcribed spacer 2". The record is from RNAcentral. Lineage: Eukaryota; Fungi; Ascomycota; Leotiomycetes; Helotiales.
UUAAGUUCAGCGGGUAUCCCUACCUGAUCCGAGGUCAACCUUUAAAAAAUUGGGGUUUGAUGGCAGGCACACACCCGGUACUCCAGAGCGAGAAAAUUACUACGCUUGAAGCCGAAUGGCACCGCCACUGAUUUUGAGGCCCGCCCUGACGGGUGAAGCCCAAUACCAAGCAGAGCUUGAGGGUUGUAAUGACGCUCGAA